RNAcentral lists this ribosomal RNA (492 nucleotides) under uncultured bacterium. RNAcentral describes it as "partial 16S ribosomal RNA". It matches the Rfam family "Bacterial small subunit ribosomal RNA", at positions 29 to 507 of the family's 1533-position model. The record is from RNAcentral.
AGUGAACGCUGGCGGUAGGCCUAACACAUGCAAGUCGAACGGCAGCACAGUAAGAGCUUGCUCUUACGGGUGGCGAGUGGCGGACGGGGGAGGAAUACAUCGGAAUCUACUUUUUCGUGGGGGAUAAAGUAGGGAAACUUACGCUAAUACCGCAGACGACGUACGGGUGAAAGCAGGGGAUCUUCGGACCUUGCGCGAUUGAAUGAGCCGAUGUCGGAUUAGCGAGUUGGCGGGGUAAAGGCCCACCAAGGCGACGAUCCGUAGCUGGUCUGAGAGGAUGAUCAGCCACACUGGAACUGAGACACGGUCCAGACUCCUACGGGAGGCAGCAGUGGGGAAUAUUGGACAAUGGGCGCAAGCCUGAUCCAGCCAUACCGCGUGUGUGAAGAAGGCCUUCGGGUUGUAAAGCCCUUUUGGUGGGAAAGAAAAGCAGCAGGUUAAUACCCCGCUGUUCUGACGUUACCCAAAGAAUAAGCACCGGCUAACUUCGUG